UACGUAGGGUGCAAGCGUUAAUCGGAAUUACUGGGCGUAAAGCGUGCGCAGGCGGUUAUGUAAGACAGAUGUGAAAUGCCCGGGCUUAACCUGGGAACUGCAUUUGUGACUGCAUGGCUAGAGUGUGUCAGAGGGGGGUAGAAUUCCACGUGUAGCAGUGAAAUGCGUAGAGAUGUGGAGGAAUACCGAUGGCGAAGGCAGCCCCCUGGGACGGUACUGACGCUGAGACGCGAAAGCGUGGGGA
RNAcentral lists this ribosomal RNA (244 nucleotides) under uncultured bacterium. Its description in RNAcentral is "partial 16S ribosomal RNA". It matches the Rfam family "Bacterial small subunit ribosomal RNA", at positions 524 to 767 of the family's 1533-position model. The record is from RNAcentral.